Molecule: ribosomal RNA, 245 nt
Filed under: uncultured bacterium
Lineage: Bacteria
Description: partial 16S ribosomal RNA
Rfam family: Bacterial small subunit ribosomal RNA
Source: RNAcentral
GACAGAGGUGGCGAGCGUUGUUCGGAAUCAUUGGGCUUAAAGCGCACGUAGGCGGCCUUGUAAGUGUCCUGUGAAAGCCCUCGGCUCAACCGAGGAACGGCAGGGCAUACUGCCGGGCUUGAGGCAGGUAGGGGCGAGUGGAACUCUUGGUGGAGCGGUGGAAUGCGUAGAUAUCAAGAGGAACGCCGGUGGUGAAGACGACUCGCUGGGCCUGUCCUGACGCUGAGGUGCGAAAGCCAGGGGAG